Molecule: non-coding RNA, 86 nt
Filed under: Badhamia polycephala
Lineage: Eukaryota; Evosea; Eumycetozoa; Physariida; Physaraceae
Description: Physarum polycephalum Burkholderia sRNA 25
Rfam family: Burkholderia sRNA 25
About the family: Identified by RNA-seq, RACE and Northern blot. Strongly expressed in biofilm.
Source: Rfam by way of RNAcentral
GCUGCUUUCCGAAGCAGACUUUUUCGUUGACGAAAAAGAUCUCCAAACCUUUGUCGGCGCGGCCUUUUCAGCCGCGCUUUUUUUUG